Molecule: transfer RNA, 67 nt
Filed under: Lygodactylus tolampyae
Lineage: Eukaryota; Metazoa; Chordata; Lepidosauria; Squamata; Gekkonidae
Description: tRNA-Ala
Source: RNAcentral
AGGGCCUUAGCGUAAUUAAAGCGUUUGCAUUGCAGUCAGAUGAUGUAGUAUAGAGUCUACAGGUCUU